UUAAGCUUGUCUUCACAAACAUGAUGACACAUUCUUGCUUGAAGCCAGGCCCCCAAGAUUCAGCAGGAGCUGAGGCUGGAAUGUAAGUCCAAGUUAAUGAAGCAGCCUCAAAGUUGAGGAGGAAGAGAAUAAACUGCAGCUCUGAGGCACAGACCAUUGGAGAUUCCUCUUUCAAACCCUGCCUUUGCCACUCACUUGAGUUAUUUGAUUUGGGAACAAGAUAAGAAUUCACAAUAUCUGAUUUGUAGAAAUAACCCAGAGGAAGGAAAAUCAGUCAGAAAUACUAAUUUCAGGGUGUUAACUUCUGGGAAUAAACUGCUCUCAGCUGUAAAAAUGAACCCUUAGCCCAUGUGUGCACGAAAUGGAUUGAGUUCAUUGUGGCGCUGAUUUACUGUAACUAGAUGCAAGAUUGAUGCAUCCAGGAGAAACCAUUCCACAUAUCUCAUCUGUCUCUGGAACUGCCCCUUUAAUCUCUUUACUAGAUUUGGUUGUUCUCUAACAAACCAGCAGAUACCUCGAGGGCAG
RNAcentral lists this long non-coding RNA (525 nucleotides) under Zonotrichia albicollis (white-throated sparrow). Its description in RNAcentral is "lncRNA (ENSZALG00000016338.1)". The record is from RNAcentral. Lineage: Eukaryota; Metazoa; Chordata; Aves; Passeriformes; Passerellidae.